RNAcentral lists this ribosomal RNA (253 nucleotides) under uncultured bacterium. RNAcentral's name for it is "partial 16S ribosomal RNA". It matches the Rfam family "Bacterial small subunit ribosomal RNA", at positions 524 to 776 of the family's 1533-position model. The record is from RNAcentral.
UACGUAGGUGGCAAGCGUUGUCCGGAUUUACUGGGCGUAAAGAGCGCGCAGGCGGCUGGUCAAGUCCGAUGUGAAAUCUCCCGGCUCAACUGGGAAACUGCAUCGGAAACUGAUCGGCUUGAAGGUGGGAGAGGGUAGUGGAAUACCCAGUGUAGAGGUGAAAUUCGUAGAGAUUGGGUGGAACACCAGUGGCGAAGGCGCCUGUCUGGCUGACAACUGACGCUGAGACUCGAAAGCAUGGGGAGCAAACAGG